Molecule: long non-coding RNA, 376 nt
Organism: Drosophila sulfurigaster albostrigata
Lineage: Eukaryota; Metazoa; Arthropoda; Insecta; Diptera; Drosophilidae
Exons: 3
Source: RefSeq, a predicted model, not a curated record
UGUGUUACGAAGUCUAUGACAGUUUUCGAACUGCUGAGAAUUGCAUGUGAAACAUUUCCGAUAAUUCCGCAAGUAUCGCACAAGAAGUCCAAAGUAGAGCUGGAAAAUAAUCGAUGUUUUCGAUGUUUUUGAAAGUAAAUAUCGAUGGAACAUCGAUGUGUUCAGUUAUCAAAACAUACGCAUGUUUAAAUUUUCACUUGUAUGGGGCUCGUCAUUUAGAAACAACACUUCUCACAAACCAACACCAUGGUUCGCUUCCACGGAAAUAUAAAUUUCACUUCAUAUAUAAUAAAAACAAGCGAUAAUGGCCAAAGAACCGAUGUUUAGAAAAUUUAAAAAACGUCAAUAGUAUCGAUAGUGUCAUCGAUUGUUUUCC